CUAACUUUAGUUUAUUUAGAAUGAGGAUUUUGGGGAUCUUUGGUCUCUUUAGAGAAGUUUGG
Molecule: transfer RNA, 62 nt
Filed under: Hymenolepis diminuta
Lineage: Eukaryota; Metazoa; Platyhelminthes; Cestoda; Cyclophyllidea; Hymenolepididae
Description: tRNA-Pro
Source: RNAcentral